This 3270-nucleotide long non-coding RNA is filed under the name Sus scrofa (pig). RNAcentral's name for it is "lncRNA (ENSSSCG00000043565.2)". Lineage: Eukaryota; Metazoa; Chordata; Mammalia; Artiodactyla; Suidae. The record is from RNAcentral.
AGCAAUCGAGUUCAUCAUAGUCCUGGAAAAUUCCCAAUUUUAGUUAAUUAUUAUUAUUUUACUGAGCAUUCAGAGAUUAGGGCAUGGCCUUCUCUCUUUUCAGCUCUGCAGAACUUUUCAGAUACCACUCAAUAAUCAUUCCUUAAAGUUUCAUGUCCUUCUUGCUUUCCUGGAGCAGUGGCCACUCGCUUUCCUCAAAGCCAGUCCUCAGAGAGCACUUGAUUCCAGGUUAUCACCAGGGAGAACUUAACUUUCUGUUCCACCUAAUAAUCCCUUCCCCGAAUAGAAAAUGCAUUUUCGCUUAGCCAGAUAAAAAAUACCAGAUUAUCUGAUUUCCCUGAAGUUUUCUUGCCUGUAACCCAUGUGCUGUGACAGUUUCUAUACCAGCGAGGGUUCAGUAAUGUAGAAAUCAGAAACAGAUGUCUGCUAAUUUCAACAGGAAAAGGAUCUUUAGGGAAUGACUGAGGCAGGUCACAGAAUCCCUUAGAAGAACCAACUUCAAAUAUUGAAAAAGAAACUAGAGAAACUGGAAGUAUAGUGACCAGUUCAUGCUGGUUUGCCUGGGACUUUUCCAGUUUUUUCACUGACAUCGCUGACAUUCCCAGAUCUGUGACGUCCCUUAGUCCUGAGCAAACUGUAAGGGGUGGUUCCUUUGCUAGACGACUGCAACAACAGCACAUAUCACACCAUAGGAACAACCUAGUUAUGUGUGUUGUCCCUGUCAUUGUUGCUGGAUUUUGCAAACUGUCAAUAACUCCAUUGUGACAGCUCUCUCUUGAAAUUACCCUGCCAUCAAUAUUCUAAAUAGCUCCAUUAAGGCUUAUUUGGCCAUUGACUGCAGUUUGAAUAUCCAUCUCUGGUUCACCUACUUUGGUCUCCUGUCUAACCCUACUAAAUGUCAAAGAUCAGCUCUCAUGGGAUUUUCAGCUUCUCUCUUGAAGGCCCCACCCUUGGAUCCCAUUAGAACUUUAAUGUGGUUAGGUAGACAAAGGAGAAAAAAAGAGAAAUUCCAUAACUGUAAAUAAUCCAUAAGAUGAGUCCAGGAAGGGAAAUUGAUAAAUCCCAAGGUGGUACAAAAACAUGUAAGAAGAUCCUGCUGUGGCACAAUGGCAUCUGGAGUACUGGGAAGCAGGUUCAAUCCCAGCCCAGCACAGUGGGUUAAUGAUCCUGCAUGGCCACAGCUGUGGCCUAGUUCACAACUGCAGCUUGGAUAUGAUCCCUGUUCUGAUUCCUGGCCCAGGAACUCCAUAUGCCCCUGGGGUGGCCAAAAAUAAAUAAAUAAAUAAAUAAAGUAAAAAGGUGAUAUGUAAAAAAUCAUCAGCAUAUGAGGAAGCUCUAUACAUUAAUUUUUAUACAGUCAUACAAUUAUACUUAUCCUAUUUGUGAUGUAUGAGCACCAGGCGGGUCUGAUUCAGCAUCUGUCACCUAAAGAAAAUUCCCCAAAGGAUCUGAGUGUGAACUGCUCAACCCAGAUUAUUGACAUCUUCGGUCCACUUAUUUUGGCAGGACUUGGUAGCAUUAUUUGCAGUGAAUGUUAUUUAAAUCUUUAAGAGUAAGUAGACUACAAAAUCAAAAUAAAAUUGGAAAUAAGGUAUUCCUUGUAAUUUUUCUGUACCAUUCAAUGUAAAUUUCUGAUUAGGAAGUGUUAGAAGCAAUCAUAUAAAACUGAAAAUCAGCUUGAAAACACUCCUCUCUCAGUACCGUGGAGAUUUUUCUGAACCAUGCGUGUAGAUAUUGUUUUCUUUUCCUUGACAUUCAGUUGUCACUUUAUGUUAGAAGGCUGGAAAGAAAAAAUAAAUUCUAUUGAAAGCCUUUUUAUUCUCCCUUAACUUCUGAUUAGUUUUCAUAGAGUUGUUAAGCUAUUGGUCAGGCUGAAUGAAUUGAAGGUUAUGAGAAAUAACCUCCCUAAACGGCUUAGUUUAUACUUCACAAAUUGAAAUGAAAUAGUCAUUUUGACAUAAAUAGUAUCUUCAAAAACUCAGGCAUAAACACUUGUGCUCCAUAUCCAAAUAUACCAUUUCUGAGACAUUUGCAUUGUUCAGUUCAUGGGAAAUUGUGGAACUAUAACUUAACAAUAAAAAUGUCAUAUAAGAUUGCAAUGAAAAAAAUCUGCAUUUAAUUUGUAUCUAAUCUGUAUCCAUAUAUGUUAUUCUUUAAAUUUUAAAAUGGGGCAAUUUUUGAAAAUUGCAUUAAAGUACAAUAUAAAAUUGAUUCAGUUUUAACAAAAUAAGCUUCUUCCAUCCUAAAAUCAGGAGGAAUAAUAGAACAAAGAUGAUACUAAUGACUUCAAAUCUUACACCUUUCUACAUGGUGAGUUUGUUAAUGAGAGUCUGAUGACUCCACCUUAAUAUUUUCAACUCUUCAGUCUGGGUGAGAAGGUUGCUCUAUAAUUUUUUCAAACAUUCAUGUAGAUGUUUAUUAGAUCUUUUAGUUGUCAUGGCCACUGUGUCCUCUGUUGCUGACCUCUACCUUACAUCCUGAGAGACAUAGGGAGCAUUUCAUUAUAAACUGGCUCCAACCUUUGCCUGGGAAGACCAAAGGCAUUUAUAAAUAGCCCUUCUUUAGGUACCUCCUGCAUAGAGCUCCAGAAAGAUGCACGUGUAUUCUUGCACUCAUUUUGUGCAUUAUUAAAUGAAAUACUGGAGAGAAGUAUAAGACAUUGAGUAUAUGGUGGAGACGUUAAUAAGCCAACAACAUAGGCUUCAUUUUCUUUUCAUCAGGUACUGACAGCUUUAGUGUCUACAAUAACAUGGCUUAUUUUGGAAGAGCUGCACCUAUUCAGGCUGAUUUAAGAUUACAAAUUUAAAAGUGUAACCCAUCAACUGGGAAAUAACCAUUGUCAAUCAACUAGCUAAUAUGUUGUACCUAUGUGGACACAUCUUUCUCAUAUGCCUUUGCACCUGUUUUAACUGAAAAAUAAAUACAGCUCCUUGAAAGGUGGCAAAAAUACAAAUAAAAAAGGCAAAAAAAUGACAUGUUGAAUGUUUUUCUUCCAUUAAUCCUAAGAACAGUUAUUUAAUUUUAAAACCAUUUGACAUGAUAAUGGUUGAAUAUUUAAUAGACUCGAUAUUUUAGGUUGGUCUUUUUGACUUAUCCUCUUUGCUGAGAAAAUAGAGGUUCAUUUCAGUCUCAUAUAGAAAUGAAAUGUUUGGAAUUUCCAUGUGGCUCAGGAAAUUAAGGAUCUGGUAUUGUCACUGCUGUGACUUGGGUUUCUGCUGUGGUGUGGUCUCAAUCCCUAGUCCUGGAACUUCCACAUGCUUUGGGUACAGC